UGGGGAAUAGUGCACAAUGGGCGCAAGCCUGAUGCAGCCAUGCCGCGUGUAUGAAGAAGGCCUUCGGGUUGUAAAGUACUUUCAGCGGGGAGGAAGGGAGUAAAGGUAAUACCUUUGCUCAUUGACGUUACCCGCAGAAGAAGCACCGGCUAACUCCGUGCCAGCAGCCGCGGUAAUACGGAGGGUGCAAGCGUUAAUCGGAAUUACUGGGCGUAAAGAGCACGCAGGCGGUUUGUUAAGUCAGAUGUGAAAUCCCCGGGCUCAACCUGGGAACUUCAUCUGAUACUGGCAAGCUUGAGUCUCGUAGAGGGGGGUAGAAUUCCAGGUGUAGCGAUGAAAUGCGUAGAGAUCUGGAGGAAUACCGGUGGCGAAGGCGGCCCCCUGGACGAAGACUGACGCUCAGGUGCGAAAGCGUGGGGAGCAAACAGG
RNAcentral lists this ribosomal RNA (429 nucleotides) under Chloroflexota bacterium. RNAcentral describes it as "Chloroflexi bacterium partial 16S ribosomal RNA". It matches the Rfam family "Bacterial small subunit ribosomal RNA", at positions 355 to 776 of the family's 1533-position model. The record is from RNAcentral. Lineage: Bacteria; Bacillati; Chloroflexota.